GCCACGAGCAAUCCAAGCUACUAUAACGAUACCGCCGGCGACGAGCCGGAGGAAGGCGUGGACGACGUCAAAUCAUCACGCCCCUUAUGUCCAGGGCUACACACAUGCGACAAUGGUCGGAACAAUGAGUUGCCAAGCAGUAAUGCGGAGCUAAUCUCCAAAGCCGGCCUCAGUACAGAUCGAGGGUUGCAACCCACCCUCGUGAAGAUGGAGUUGCUAGUAAACGCAAGUCAGCUAUAUUGCGUUGAAUACGUUCCCGGGUAUU
This 265-nucleotide ribosomal RNA is filed under the name uncultured Caldisericales bacterium. Its description in RNAcentral is "partial 16S ribosomal RNA". It matches the Rfam family "Bacterial small subunit ribosomal RNA", at positions 1118 to 1382 of the family's 1533-position model. Lineage: Bacteria; Pseudomonadati; Caldisericota; Caldisericia; Caldisericales. The record is from RNAcentral.